This is a long non-coding RNA of Penaeus indicus, 353 nucleotides long. RefSeq lists it as uncharacterized. The transcript is spliced from 2 exons. Lineage: Eukaryota; Metazoa; Arthropoda; Malacostraca; Decapoda; Penaeidae. The record is from RefSeq and is a predicted model, not a curated record.
AGUGGCGGAGAGAUACUCGAAGCGGGAGGUUGUGUCUCUCCUCGUCGACUGACACACACACACACACUCGCCUCCAUUACGCCAUUAACUUUAUACCUGAAUUAAGGAAGAAACGUGACUCUGAUAAAGAAGGAGACAAGGAAAUCCCAAUAAAAAUAAGAACUAAGACUUUAUUUUGAUAUAUUUCAUUGAAAGAGAGUACGAAACGGGUGAAAAUAGUGAAUAAAUGGAUAAAUACGGGAAAGAUAAGAAAGAAUAUGAAAAGAUAGGAAAAAAAGACAAAGAAGAUUAAGACAUAAGAAAAUAAGAAAAGAUAAGAAAAUCAUAUGAUUAAAAGAAAGUAAGAAAAAAAA